GCGUCCGUAGCUCAAUGGAUAGAGUACUGCCCUCCGAAGGCAGGGGUUGCUGGUUCGAUCCCAGCCGGGCGCGCCA
This 76-nucleotide transfer RNA is filed under the name Acinetobacter baumannii. RNAcentral describes it as "tRNA-Arg". It matches the Rfam family "tRNA". Rfam says of the family: Transfer RNA (tRNA) molecules are approximately 80 nucleotides in length. RNAcentral also lists the same sequence under 17 other names. The record is from RNAcentral. Lineage: Bacteria; Pseudomonadati; Pseudomonadota; Gammaproteobacteria; Moraxellales; Moraxellaceae.